GUCCUACGGGGCGCAGCAGUGAGGAAUAUUGGUCAAUGGGCGCGAGCCUGAACCAGCCAAGUCGCGUGAGGGAUGAAGGAUCUAUGGUUCGUAAACCUCUUUUAUAAGGGAAUAAAGUGCGGGACGCGUCCCGCUUCGCAUGUACCUUAUGAAUAAGGAUCGGCUAACUCCGUGCCAGCAGCCGCGGUAAUACGGAGGAUGCGAGCGUUAUCCGGAUUUAUUGGGUUUAAAGGGUGCGUAGGCGGAAUAUCAAGUCAGCGGUAAAAAUUCGGGGCUCAACCCCGUCGUGCCGUUGAAACUGAUGU
This 305-nucleotide ribosomal RNA is filed under the name uncultured bacterium. RNAcentral describes it as "bacterial SSU rRNA". It matches the Rfam family "Bacterial small subunit ribosomal RNA", at positions 335 to 639 of the family's 1533-position model. The record is from RNAcentral.